Molecule: non-coding RNA, 96 nt
Organism: Mycena alexandri
Lineage: Eukaryota; Fungi; Basidiomycota; Agaricomycetes; Agaricales; Mycenaceae
Source: the annotation of a GenBank genome assembly
GACCUGGUGGCAUAACUGGUAAUGUGCACACUUACGGUAAGACGAUGACACAUAAUUUUUUAAUGCGAAACCCUCGUUCAAUUCGAGGUCAGGCCG